UUACGACCAUAUCACGUUGAAACACCGGUUUUCGUAUGAUCACUGAUGUUAAGCAAAGUUGUGCCUGGUCGCUACCUAAAUGGGUGACCGAUUGGGAAUACCAGGUGUUGUC
This is a non-coding RNA of Acanthosepion pharaonis, 112 nucleotides long. NCBI's taxonomy places the organism in Eukaryota, Metazoa, Mollusca, Cephalopoda, Sepiida, Sepiidae. The record is from the annotation of a GenBank genome assembly.